Phascolarctos cinereus (koala) is the source of this 228-nucleotide non-coding RNA. NCBI's taxonomy places the organism in Eukaryota, Metazoa, Chordata, Mammalia, Diprotodontia, Phascolarctidae. The record is from RefSeq and is a predicted model, not a curated record.
UGAAAACAGAUGCAGCUUGCUUCAGGGAGAAACUUGGAGUUAUUCAAAGAACUAUCCAGUUAUCCAAAGGCACACAGAAGCAAUAGAAGAAAUAGCAGGAAGAAAAGAAGAAUUGGCAUCUGCACUGCGACCAUACUGGUGCUAUGAAUGUAGAUAGACAGGCAUGGAGGUAGAAGGAAUGUGGUAAUCUGAGAAACAGCUCAGAAGAUGAUGUUAAAAGUAGAGGCA